GGGGCGUGAUCCUGUGUUCUGGGCUAGUCAAGUAAAUAUAUGGCGUCAGGGCCUUUUGGACGAAGCCUUCUUCGCGGUGGCCGUCCUCAGCCCGGCAGCGAGAGGGCCCCGCCUGAGCGUGCCGUGCUACGGCCCAGCCUCGACGAGGGGGUGCACGCAGCGCGACGCUCUCCUGCUGCGCCAGGUGGUGCGAGCUUGUCGACGGCCGGGGCCGCCCUCGAGCAGCCCCGCGGACGUGGCGUCGUCGGGGAAGGAAGGAGUCGAGCGCCUCCGCCUGCCGCCUCUCCGCGUGGAGUUUAUCCGCGACAGCCCCAAUGGCGCCUCCGAAGAGGGUUGCCGGGGAAAGAGGGGCAUCAAGGAGGAAGGAUCACCUGCGAUCUCCACGAAGACAUCCGCCGCUCUGCCUCAGCACGACCUGGACCGGAGCCGCGGGGAGGGCGACUUAUCGGGCGAGACGGGAGCGCCUUUAUAGCAUCCUGGUCCUGGCGUCGUCCGCUUAUGACGUACCAGCUCGCCAUUGGUUAGAUUUCAGACGUGCUUCAUGGCGCGGUCACGCAGAGGCCGUCACGCAAAAAAAGGAAAUAAAAAUGCACAAAAACAGCAAAGCAGAGGUCAAAUGUAUUAUUUGUGAAAAAUUUGAUCAAAGACAAUAUGUGGAAAGUUAAAGAAUUCAGAUUUAAGACACUUAACUGUAAUGACUACUUUAACUAUUUCAAAGAGACAUUUUAAUUUGUUUCUAGAUGAAUCUUACUAAUGUGAUGCAGGAGGAGCAUGUGGACAGAUGUUACCUGUAAUCUCUAAUAUUUAUUUAAUUAAAUAAAUGACUGUAGGAAACACUG
Long non-coding RNA from Pungitius pungitius (ninespine stickleback), 839 nucleotides. RefSeq lists it as uncharacterized. The record is from RefSeq and is a predicted model, not a curated record. The transcript is spliced from 2 exons. Lineage: Eukaryota; Metazoa; Chordata; Actinopteri; Perciformes; Gasterosteidae.